RNAcentral lists this ribosomal RNA (1337 nucleotides) under Lactiplantibacillus plantarum. RNAcentral describes it as "bacterial SSU rRNA". It matches the Rfam family "Bacterial small subunit ribosomal RNA", at positions 93 to 1417 of the family's 1533-position model. Lineage: Bacteria; Bacillati; Bacillota; Bacilli; Lactobacillales; Lactobacillaceae. The record is from RNAcentral.
GAGUGGCGAACUGGUGAGUAACACGUGGGAAACCUGCCCAGAAGCGGGGGAUAACACCUGGAAACAGAUGCUAAUACCGCAUAACAACUUGGACCGCAUGGUCCGAGCUUGAAAGAUGGCUUCGGCUAUCACUUUUGGAUGGUCCCGCGGCGUAUUAGCUAGAUGGUGGGGUAACGGCUCACCAUGGCAAUGAUACGUAGCCGACCUGAGAGGGUAAUCGGCCACAUUGGGACUGAGACACGGCCCAAACUCCUACGGGAGGCAGCAGUAGGGAAUCUUCCACAAUGGACGAAAGUCUGAUGGAGCAACGCCGCGUGAGUGAAGAAGGGUUUCGGCUCGUAAAACUCUGUUGUUAAAGAAGAACAUAUCUGAGAGUAACUGUUCAGGUAUUGACGGUAUUUAACCAGAAAGCCACGGCUAACUACGUGCCAGCAGCCGCGGUAAUACGUAGGUGGCAAGCGUUGUCCGGAUUUAUUGGGCGUAAAGCGAGCGCAGGCGGUUUUUUAAGUCUGAUGUGAAAGCCUUCGGCUCAACCGAAGAAGUGCAUCGGAAACUGGGAAACUUGAGUGCAGAAGAGGACAGUGGAACUCCAUGUGUAGCGGUGAAAUGCGUAGAUAUAUGGAAGAACACCAGUGGCGAAGGCGGCUGUCUGGUCUGUAACUGACGCUGAGGCUCGAAAGUAUGGGUAGCAAACAGGAUUAGAUACCCUGGUAGUCCAUACCGUAAACGAUGAAUGCUAAGUGUUGGAGGGUUUCCGCCCUUCAGUGCUGCAGCUAACGCAUUAAGCAUUCCGCCUGGGGAGUACGGCCGCAAGGCUGAAACUCAAAGGAAUUGACGGGGGCCCGCACAAGCGGUGGAGCAUGUGGUUUAAUUCGAAGCUACGCGAAGAACCUUACCAGGUCUUGACAUACUAUGCAAAUCUAAGAGAUUAGACGUUCCCUUCGGGGACAUGGAUACAGGUGGUGCAUGGUUGUCGUCAGCUCGUGUCGUGAGAUGUUGGGUUAAGUCCCGCAACGAGCGCAACCCUUAUUAUCAGUUGCCAGCAUUAAGUUGGGCACUCUGGUGAGACUGCCGGUGACAAACCGGAGGAAGGUGGGGAUGACGUCAAAUCAUCAUGCCCCUUAUGACCUGGGCUACACACGUGCUACAAUGGAUGGUACAACGAGUUGCGAACUCGCGAGAGUAAGCUAAUCUCUUAAAGCCAUUCUCAGUUCGGAUUGUAGGCUGCAACUCGCCUACAUGAAGUCGGAAUCGCUAGUAAUCGCGGAUCAGCAUGCCGCGGUGAAUACGUUCCCGGGCCUUGUACACACCGCCCGUCACACCAUGAGAGUUUGUAA